CCCUUAGAUGUCCUGGGCCGCACGCGCGUUACACUGAUGCAUUCAACGAGCUUAUAACCUUGGCCGAGAGGCCUGGGCAAUCUUGUUAACGUGCAUCGUGAUAGGGAUAGAUUAUUGAAAUUAUUAAUCUUGAACGAGGAAUUCCUAGUAAACGCAGAUCAUCAAUCUGCAUUGAUUACGUCCCUGCCCUUUGUACACACCGCCCGUCGCUACUACUGAUUGGGUGUUCAAGUGAGAUGCUUAGACCCUUGUUGCAUGGUUCAUUAUUGUGCUCCGAAAGGAAAAAGUUUCAAGCUUGAGUGUCUAGAGGAAGUAAAAGUCGUAACA
RNAcentral lists this ribosomal RNA (327 nucleotides) under uncultured eukaryote. RNAcentral describes it as "partial 18S ribosomal RNA". It matches the Rfam family "Eukaryotic small subunit ribosomal RNA", at positions 1470 to 1796 of the family's 1831-position model. The record is from RNAcentral.